Long non-coding RNA from Anopheles arabiensis, 1058 nucleotides. RefSeq lists it as uncharacterized. Lineage: Eukaryota; Metazoa; Arthropoda; Insecta; Diptera; Culicidae. The record is from RefSeq and is a predicted model, not a curated record. The transcript has 2 exons.
UUAACAGGAAAUCUACUGUUAUUUCAUGUAACAAACUGUUCGUGGAAUGCAUAAAAUUCCUUAACAGCCAGACGUUUUAGAUUCAUUUACUUUCAACUUCCUACUUGAGGGCUACUAUGGACGGGGUGCAGUGCAAGGUGAGAGAGACGAACAUGCUUUCGGAAUCGUUCGAAUCUCACCGGGGUCUGAGGCAAAGGGACGGAUCCUCCUGUUUGCUGUUCAACAUCGCUCUGGAAGGUGUCAUGCGAAGCGCAGGCUUCGACAUCCGGGGCACGAUUUUCACCCGAUCUCUCCAAUUCCUUGGCUUCGCGGAUGACAUCGACAUCAUCGGACGUACAACUGAGGACGCCAAUGCACUCGCCAUUUUUGAACGGCGGGUGCUAAGGACUAUCUUUGGCGGUGUGUGUGAGCAGGGCGUGUGGAGAAGGAGGAUGAACCACGAGCUAGCUGAGCUGUUUGGCGGUGCAGAUAUCCUGACGGUCAUCAAAGCCGGAAGGAUACGAUGGCUGGGACACGUGAUGAGGAUGCCGGACUCAUGCCCCACCAGGAGGGUGCUCGUCAGCGACCCGUUCGGCACGAGGCGUAGAGGAGCACAGCGAGCUCGUUGACUGGAUGAGGUGGAGUCGAACCUGUCGGAGACCGGAUGCAGCCGUGGUUGGAGGACUGCAGCCCAGGACCGAGUUUCCUGGAAACGGAUUGGCGACCUGGCCAUGUCUACUAGACGUGCUCAUACAUGAGCAGGCCAAGAAGAAGAAGAAGAAGACUUUCAGCUUCCAUGUUUUGCAGUAUCUUGCAUAUUCAUUUAGCCCUUUGUUUAGGCUUUUUAUAAUUGUUCUUGGACAUUUGGCAGAGGAAUUAAUCGCAAAUUCAUCAGCAAAAGAGUAUUGUUUGACAUUUUCCAUUUUUGGAACAUCGCAUUUGUAAAUAUUAAACAGAAUCGGUGAAAGUACGCUUCCUUGGAGCAGGUCAGGCUAGGAUUACAUUCCUGAACUAUGUGUGUAACAGCAGCUUAUCUUUAUCUUCAGCUAAAAUAAAUAUUUUAUUUUUGUUUGAUCGAA